CCUACGGGGCGCAGCAGUGGGGGAUAUUGCACAAUGGGGGGAACCCUGAUGCAGCGACGCCGCGUGGGUGAAGGAGUGCUUCGGCAUGUAAAGCCCUAUCGGCAGGGAAGAAGCAAGACGGUACCUGACUAAGAAGCCCCGGCUAACUACGUGCCAGCAGCCGCGGUAAUACAUAGGGGGCAAGCGUUAUCCGGAAUUAUUGGGUGUAAAGGGUGCGUAGACGGAAGAACAAGUUGGUUGUGAAAUCCCUCAGCUCAACUGAGGAACUGCAACCAAAACUAUUCUCCUUGAGUGUCGGAGAGGAA
This 305-nucleotide ribosomal RNA is filed under the name uncultured bacterium. Its description in RNAcentral is "bacterial SSU rRNA". It matches the Rfam family "Bacterial small subunit ribosomal RNA", at positions 338 to 659 of the family's 1533-position model. The record is from RNAcentral.